Molecule: ribosomal RNA, 1031 nt
Filed under: Beauveria bassiana
Lineage: Eukaryota; Fungi; Ascomycota; Sordariomycetes; Hypocreales; Cordycipitaceae
Description: LSU rRNA
Rfam family: Eukaryotic large subunit ribosomal RNA
Source: RNAcentral
AAAGAAACCAACAGGGAUUGCCCCAGUAACGGCGAGUGAAGCGGCAACAGCUCAAAUUUGAAAUCUGGCCCUCGGGUCCGAGUUGUAAUUUGUAGAGGAUGCUUUUGGCGAGGUGCCUUCCGAGUUCCCUGGAACGGGACGCCAUAGAGGGUGAGAGCCCCGUCUGGUCGGACACCGAGCCUCUGUAAAGCUCCUUCAACGAGUCGAGUAGUUUGGGAAUGCUGCUCAAAAUGGGAGGUAUAUGUCUUCUAAAGCUAAAUAUUGGCCAGAGACCGAUAGCGCACAAGUAGAGUGAUCGAAAGAUGAAAAGCACUUUGAAAAGAGGGUUAAAAAGUACGUGAAAUUGUUGAAAGGGAAGCGCCUAUGACCAGACUUGCGCCCGGUGAAUCAUCCAGCGUUCUCGCUGGUGCACUUUGCCGGGCACAGGCCAGCAUCAGUUUGGCGCGGGGGAAAAAGGCUUCGGGAAUGUGGCUCCCUCGGGAGUGUUAUAGCCCGCUGCGUAAUACCCUGCGCCGGACUGAGGUACGCGCAUCGCAAGGAUGCUGGCGUAAUGGUCAUCAGCGACCCGUCUUGAAACACGGACCAAGGAGUCGUCUUCGUAUGCGAGUGUUCGGGUGUCAAACCCCUACGCGUAAUGAAAGUGAACGCAGGUGAGAGCUUCGGCGCAUCAUCGACCGAUCCUGAUGUUCUCGGAUGGAUUUGAGUAAGAGCAUACGGGGCCGGACCCGAAAGAAGGUGAACUAUGCCUGUAUAGGGUGAAGCCAGAGGAAACUCUGGUGGAGGCUCGCAGCGGUUCUGACGUGCGAAUCGAUCGUCAAAUAUGGGCAUGGGGGCGAAAGACUAAUCGAACCUUCUAGUAGCUGGUUUCCGCCGAAGUUUCCCUCAGGAUAGCAGUGUUGAACUCAGUUUUAUGAGGUAAAGCGAAUGAUUAGGGACUCGGGGGCGCUAUAUUGCCUUCAUCCAUUCUCAAACUUUAAAUAUGUAAGAAGCCCUUGUUACUUAAUUGAACGUGGGCAUUCGAAUGUAUCAAC